AAAAAUGAUUCUUGGACCACCUUGAACCAAUUUCUGAAGUCAAAUUCUCUGCCCCUCAAAGUGCAUACAAAUCCUUGUCUGGCUCCUAGGGUAUUAACAUUUGCGAAAUUUAAUAUUUAAUUUUCAGGUUGAACAAUCAGAAGCAGAGAUAACCAAAGAAAAACCUGUAUCUCAGGACACUGGAUUAUCGACCAAUCACCUUAUCCUACGCAAGAAAGUAUUUGAAAAUAUUGUUAACCAGAGUUCUGGACCGACGGAUGUAACUUGCAUAUGGGACUAUGCCGGUCAGCUUGAUUAUUAUAUUACUCAUCGGUUUUUUCUUACAGACAGGACGUCUUAUGGAGUUGUUUUUAGUUUGCUAGAUGAUUUGGACGAAUUGGCAAAAUCACGAGAUCCUAAAAAAGGAUUUCUUGAGAUGACAAAUCUGCAAUCGAUCUUAUUUUGGAUAAGGUCAAUAUUUGAACACGCUGUACUGCUACAUGGCUCUGAAGCAAAGAAUGUGAUCAAUAGAAUGAUAGCAUCACCGACGAUUAGUCUGAUUGGGACGCACAAAGAUCUACUACAGGGCAGUGAUGCUGAGAAACAGGCAAAGAUUGAUGACAUAUUCGACAGAAUAUUAAAGGCAAUCGAAGGAGAACCAUAUGAACGUCACGUAGAUCGUGAGAGGUAUGCCGUAGACAACACCACAGCACUGGAUGAAGGGAUUCAAAGACUGAAAAGAAACGUAGGCGGUUUCAUGAAAGCAAUGGCAAGAACUGUACCAAUUAAGUGGGUGGAAUUCCAAAUUAAGGUGCUAGAAAUUGGGAAAACAACCCUAGGCAUGUCCUUAGAUGAGAUCACUAAGAUUGCUGAUCAAUGUGGUAUAAAUGAAGACAAAGUCAUUCACGUCCUCAAUUACCUCAAUGAUAUUGGAGUCAUUCUGUACUCGGCCACUAACAAGAAGUUGAAGAACACUGUGAUUACUAAAAUCCAUGCGCUGAUUAAAAUCUUCAUGAAAAUCAUUACAGUUGUGGAACCCGAUGAUGUUGACAAGUAUCCAGUGAUGAUAAAGGAUUGGCGUAAAUUUUCUAAUGAAGGGAUUCUUACAAAACCGCUGGCAGAGCAUUUGUGGACAAGUGGACUUACUGUCAGUAAAAGUGAUGGAGAUGUUGAUAAAAUUGUUGAUUGUUCCAUUGAACUUAUGAAGAUGUUUGGUCUUCUCUUUGAAAAGAAUAAAUCAGAUGAUAGCACUCGACAAUUUGUCGUCCCUUCUCGGAUGAAGGCCAAUCCUAAUGAUAGAUUGGAAAUAAAGAAAGACGAUAAGCAGACAGUAUCCAUCUAUGUGACACCUAAAGACUUCCUUCCUGAUGCCGUCUACGAUGUCUUGGUCGUUAGAUUUGUAAGCCUGAGUCAGGAUAGAGGUUUUCGUGAAGACCCAAAGUUGUUUCAGAAUCAGGCUGAAAUAAAAUUUAGCGAUACGCAUUACCUGAAACUAGGUCGGAUAUCCAUUGAUAACAAACCAUCUUUGAUAAAGCUGGAAAUAUCAAAAAUGAAAGUGAAAAAAGCAGAGGGUGCAUACAAGCAAGUAUGUAAGCCAGAUCCUGACGUAUGCAUAAAGGUUUUGGAUUUUUUAAAGCAAUACCUAGAUGAGGUAUAUCCAUCUAAGAAAAUUCUCGGCUAUGCUUUGCAAAUUCUUUGCUUAGUCUGUUCAGAUGAUUGCAUGGAGAAACCACACUUUCAAGACCUAGAGAUCUGCUUAAAAGGAGACAACAUGACUUGUGAUAGAAAAGGUGAAUUUAUUGGAAGUGAAACAACUGAAAUUCAAAAGUUCUUUGUGGCAGAAAAGAAAAGAAAAAUUCCACCGUCAGACGAAUUUACAACGAAAAAGCUCAAGACAGGUGAACAAACAGCAAUAGAAGAAUUGUCAGCUAAGGAGUUCAAAGUGCUUAAAGCUGUUUUCUCACAAGGGUAUGAUAGUGACGAUAGUCUUAAUAUGUUAAAGGUGUUGUUCAGAGACAAGAUGGACAUUAACGAGCUGUCACUAGCAACUAAUGUAAUGGACUUGCUGAAUAAUUUGAUUAAACGUAAUCAUCUGAGUUUACAGAAUAUUGGACUUUUGUGUGACGUUAUUAGCGUAACUAAACAUUGGUAUCUUCCAACAAAGAUUAAAGAAAAAGUGCCAAAAUUCCCGGAUGUUAUGAAAGGAACCAUUUCAACAGAAUUCACAUCUCACAGACAAAAACUAAUGAACUUUGGAAUGUCACUGUCCAAAGCCGAUGUGACGAAGAUUGAUGGAUUGUAUAAUGAGCCCUAUAAGAAGGAUUAUACAGAUAGCUGGAGUAUGAUCAGCGAUCUAGAAAAGAGAUUGAUAAUCAGUGAAGAAAAUAUGGAGGAAUUCGCUGAUAUGAUGAAAAACCUUGGUCUUACUCUAGUUUAAAACAAACUAACAUAAGGUGAUUUGAUAGAGGAGUCAAAAAAGCGAUUUGGGAAAAGUAGAGAACUCCAGCUUAAACCGAAAAGGAAGACUCUGUUUUCAACCAUCAAAGAGUUUUGACCAGGUGCUGCGCACUAGCAUUCCUCGCCAUCUGACUUGUGAUGAAUCCAAAGAGUCAGUAGUCUGAAGAAAUUCAGCAGAGCUAGACUAAAUGCCACUCAACGUUAAUAUGCUUAGAUUGAGAAUGCAAGGUGCAAUUUACCAUAUUUGGCCUAGCGUCCAUAAAUGUUUAAUAUCAAAUAAGAAGUUAAUGUUGAUACAAGCGGGGAAGGCUUCGCCCCCGCCCCGUCGGGGAGUGCUGAAUCUACAACUGAGCUACAAGAACCAGUGCUGGGUUAAAAAUGGAUUCCUCAAGUUUAACAACAUGGCAAUGGCCUACAAAAGAUUUUAAAAAAAAUGAUUAUUAGAACAAACUUCGAAUAAGUUUCAAUUGUACACGUCGGAUAUGGCAAGCCUAGACGUCACAGAUUUAUGAAGAAUGAAGCAGGAGGCUGUAAUCUUAAAAUCCUUAAGUAAUUUUUUUUGGUUGACUUUUUAGUUUAAGUUAUCAAUUAUACAUGUCAGAUAUGGCAAGCCUAGAUGUUGCAUAUUUGUGUAAAAAGAUGGCCUUGGAUAGAUGUACAGUAUUAAGAAUAAUUCUUUUUUUUUUCAAUUGUUUGUACGCGUUGGAUAUGGCAAGCCUAGACGUUAGAGAUUUAUGUAAAAAGACGUCCUUGGAUGAAUGUACUAAUUUUUUACUUUGAUUUACGUUUCAAUCCUCCUUUUGCACUUGGUUACUUUGGGGAAGUAGUGAAGACAUUUCUAUGCGGUAUUAAAUCAAAACAUUGGAUACCGAAUAGUUAGGCUGUACUGCAAGUUUCUGUAAAGUAGUUAUUUUUUAUAAAAACUAAUUCAAAAAAUCAUUGUGUAUAGCUGACUUUCAUGCAAUAUUUUAUUGCUGUACAUUUUUAGAAAAGUUGAAUAAUGAAAUACCUUUGACAGGCAUGACUUUGUUCACUGUAAAUGUUUUAAUUGGCAUUAUAUUUUAAUUCCAAUAUUUUAUUGCUGUACAUUUUUAGAAAAGUUGAAUAAUGAAAUACCUUUGACAGGCAUGACUUUGUUCACUGUAAAUGUUUUAAUUGGCAUCAUAUUUUAAUUCCAAUAUUUUAUUGGUGAUCUGAUAGAAUCUUUUAAAUUAGUUUUGUUUGUAUUCUCUGUAAAGAUGUUUAGUACGGUACAGGAGAGCCACUUAAUACUGUAGUAACAAUCCUCCGGAAAUGAACAUCUUGUUUCCAUGUUUUCUCCUGUAUUGCUUUUACCUGGAUAUUGAAUACAUUAAAAAAAUUAGGAGGGAGCCCUAAAUUUGUCAAAAUUAAAAGUAAAUAGAGGAUAACAGAAUAUUACAUUCAAAUUUUGAGUCUGAAGUAUCAUUUUCGGCCAUCUACAAGUGAAAUAAACAUAAAAAGUUCCUACCUCAGCUCCAACCAGGAUGGGGAUGAGGUAACAUAAAUCCCCUAUCUGUAAAAUUUACUGUCUAUACCCCUCCUCUCCUGUCUAUGUCAAAUUACAAGAUCCGAGAUGUAAUUUGGCGAAUGAUCUAUCCAUAAUCUUAUUGGCAGAAUAUCAACCAUGAGUUGGAGUCACCCUAAAUUUUACACAUUAAAAAUUAAAUGGGGGAUGGGGUUAAACGAAAAUUGCCUUCAAAUUUUGAGUCUGAAAGGCCAUUUCCGGCCAUCUAGAAGUGGCAUAAUACUAAAAUGUUUGUACCUCAGCCCCAACAGUGGUGGGACUGAUGUGGUCUCUAUUUCGAAAUCCUGGAUUCGCCACGGCUUAAUGUUGUACUUUUGUGACGAAUCAUCUUCAUGGGAUAUGGACAAUGAGUAGGCCUAAUAUUUGGACAUGGGUGGUCCGUGAAGAUUUUGGCGUGCACAGAACCCAGAGGGGUUCGCGAAUGCAGAAAGGUUGGGAACCACUGUAUUAUGACGGUUAUGACAAGCAUAAAAUGGUAAAUGUAUUAAUCGUUUUGUUGAUCGUCGCUGCACACAAUCAAAUCGCCUUAAUUUAGAGUGGGUUAAGUUUUAGAAAUUAUGUAUUUUCUAGUGUUAACAUUCAGAAAUAUUUUAUGUGGUGCUAGACGUUUCUUUUGGCUAUGAGUAUGACUCAAUGAACGAGCCGUAAGAAUAAUUUUUAGGCCCAUGCCCGGGAUUUAUCAAUCUCAGCUUAGCAAAUGUCUAAGUCAAAGAUGUCUCAGUAAAAACAGUCGCCUAGCUGCCAUCUUUAAUUAACUUGAGAGUUCAAAACAACAACAAAGCAAGUACAUACAGAUCAGACGCAAAAGGUGGAUUGUAUGUGUUGGAUAUGCGUAGUCUAGACGUUACAGAUUUAUGUAAAGCAAAUGACCUUGGAUGGAUGUACUUAAGUACUUUUUUUUUGGUUUACUUUAUAGUAAAAGUUUCUAUUGUAUACGUCGGAAAUGGCAAGCCUAGACGUUACAAUUAAUUAAUUAUUCUUCAUGUGCUUGGAUGUGUGUACUUCAGAAUUUGUUGGUUUCAAUAUUGUACACGUCUGAUAU
RNAcentral lists this unclassified non-coding RNA (5024 nucleotides) under Anneissia japonica. RNAcentral describes it as "uncharacterized LOC117121883, transcript variant X1". Lineage: Eukaryota; Metazoa; Echinodermata; Crinoidea; Comatulida; Comatulidae. The record is from RNAcentral.